AAUAGGCUUGGUCCUGGCCUUUCUAUUGACUCUCAGCAAGAUUACACAUGCAAGCAUCCCCAUUCCGGUGAAGACGCCCUUCCCAUCAACAUGACCAGAAGGAGCAAGUAUCAAGCACGCCCAUGCAGCUCAAAACACUUUGCCCAGCCACACCCCCACGGGAGACAGCAGUGACAAACCUUUAGCAAUGAACGAAAGUUUAACUAAGCUAUGCUAUGCCAGGGUUGGUCAACUUCGUGCCAGCCACCGCGGUUAUACGAUUAACCCUAGCCAAUGGAAACCGGCGUAGAGGGUGUUUUAGAUCUAGUCCAAUAAAGCUAAACCCCAUCUAAACUGUAAAACCCUAGCUAACGUAAAAUAAACUACGAAGGUGGCUUUAUAACUCCUGAACACACAAUAGCCAAGACCCAAACUGGGAUUAGACACCCCACUAUGCUUGGCCCUAAACCUCAAUAGUUAAAAUAACAAAACUAUUCGCCAGAAUACUACAAGCAACAGCUUAAAACUCAAAGGACUUGGCGGUGCUUCAUACCCCCUAGAGGAGCCUGUUCUGUAAUCGAUAAACCCCGAUCCACCCCACCCUCUCUUGCUUAGUCUAUAUACCGCCAUCUUCAGCAAACCCUGAUGAAGGCUACGAAGUGAGCGCAAAUGCCCUCCCCGCAAAAACGUUAGGUCAAGGUGUAACUUAUGAGACGGUAAAAAUGGGCUACAUUUUCUACUUCAGAAAACCCCACGAUAGCUCUUAUGAAAUCUAGGAGCCCAAGGAGGAUUUAGCAGUAAAUUAAGAAUAGAGUGCUUAAUUGAACUAGGCCAUAAAGCACGCACACACCGCCCGUCACUCCCCUCAAAUAUAUUUAAGGAAUAACUUAACUAAAUGCCCUAACAUUUAUAUAGAGGGGAUAAGUCGUAACACGGUAAGUGUACUGGAAGGUGCACUUGGAUAAAU
Molecule: non-coding RNA, 946 nt
Filed under: Papio hamadryas hamadryas
Lineage: Eukaryota; Metazoa; Chordata; Mammalia; Primates; Cercopithecidae
Description: 12S ribosomal RNA
Rfam family: Bacterial small subunit ribosomal RNA
Source: RNAcentral